AAUCGCUUCUCUGGGCCUGGUGGAAAACAGAGAGCAUUAUUUGCUUUAAUUGAUUCAAAAACUCUAGAGGACCCCAACCUGGAUACCAGGAGACCCCCAGUCCUUCACUCCCUUUCCCCAAUACCUCCCUUUCUCCCGAAAAACUAGAGAAACUUUCCCUCAUGUCCUUCAGGAUGAGAGGUUCUGGGAGCCUGGAAAACAAGAGAGUAUAGGGAGAGAUUUUCCUCUUUUCUAAAUACUUUAAUAGAGUAAAUUAAUGCUUUCCGUACAUGCCAAGCAGCAUCUCCCCCCCCCCCCCCCCCAUAAAAAGAAGGUUCUUAAUGUAGCAGGAAAAGGUAGUAGAAAGAGGCUUCCCCCGCUUUCGGAAAAGUCAGCUUUAAGGUGCAAUAAGGAAGAGAAGAGAUUUACAAUCAUCAGCACCACUACCCCCAUCCCACCCUCCAAAAGCAACAGAUAAAUCUCGGAAAAUCGACAGACACUCCCAGGCUGACACAGAGGAGUGAGAUCGAUGGUGACGGUGAGGGGCCCUUUUGGGCCUCUGGCCUCCAUAGCUGUGUGGUCUCAGUUCCCUUCUCUGCCCGGGGUUUGCAGCACUGUGUCUGCCCCUGUGCCCACCUGCCUUCCUCACCUGACCGAAUCUGCAUUCCGCUAUGACACCCACCCUCCAACAGCUAGGGUCUAAAAUGCAUUGCGUUCACUGAAGCCUCAAGCUUGUAUCUGUGUCUAUAAUCCAGGAAUGGAACAAGAGCCAAGGUAGCCAACGAUUUGUUUAACUUAGUGCAGUCUCAAAGCUCAGGUCCAUAUGUGGGGGGUGGAGUCCUCCCCUAGGACAAAGAGAUGCCCCGUCCCAUUUUUGUCAUUGUGCUAGUAAAAAAUAAAUAAAUAAAUAAAUAAAUAUUAAAAAAAAUCCCUCUGGAGAAAGAUUUUCCUGAACAUGGAGGGGUGGAAAUAAUGACUGUUGAGAUGCUAUGCCUUUUCUGGCCCUUGAGGGAGUUUUUUUGUUUGGUUUUUUAUUUUGAAAGAAUUGAGAUAGUGUGAACUUUAGGGUGUGCUGUAAUUUACUGGGGGGAGGGGGCGCAAGACUUAGAGCCCCAAGCAAUUGGUGGGAAACCAGGUCUCAAUGCAGAAAAUGAAAAGUCGAUCUGGGGGAAGAUUUUUAAAUAAGUGGGUCAGAGGGACGGAGAAGAGAUGAGGCGAUCAAUCUUAGCCCCCUGACAGCUCCCUCCGAUGGCAUCAAAGAAUUUGGCUCUUUGGGAAAGCAGAAGGAACAGCCGAAAUUCCACAUCCCUUUAAAAGGCCUGGGGGUGGGGGGUGUUAGCACAAGAGAAAGGUGAUUCUGGGAGAUCGGGGAAACAGAUGGGAAAUGGGGACAGAGGGAAGGGCGCUGAGUUGGGUGGAAAGUUUGUCUGCAGAACUCCCACGGCUCUGGCCUCCCCUCCCCCUCGGGCUCUCAGCUGCCCAGAAAGAAGCAGGCUGGUUAGCAGAGAAAUGGCAACUCAGCCGGGAGCUGGAACUAGAAACUUUCUGUCAAUGUAACAGCCGCGUGGGUGGUGGAGAAUUGCAAGAGAAAAAAAAAAAAAAGAUUUGGGGGAAUUACCCACAGAGACUGAAGGUGUGUUAACUUGGGCGCUUCUUGGAUUCUACCCUGAGGAGGAGGCGCAUGGUGAGAGGAGAGCUCCACCAGCUGCGCGCUCGUGUAUGCCGUCCGCGCCCGCUUGGACGCCGCAGACCCCGGGGGGCUCUUGUCCCCUCCCCCGCU
Artibeus jamaicensis (Jamaican fruit-eating bat) is the source of this 1759-nucleotide long non-coding RNA. RefSeq lists it as uncharacterized. The record is from RefSeq and is a predicted model, not a curated record. Lineage: Eukaryota; Metazoa; Chordata; Mammalia; Chiroptera; Phyllostomidae. The transcript has 4 exons.